UAAAUGUGGUUAUGAAUAAAUUUGUCGAAAAUGAGGUUCCUCGUGAAAUUACAAAUGAUAUCAAAGGAGUGAUUAAAGGAGUAUGGCCAACGUGGAAAAAGGUGCCUAAUGAUAUUAAAGAUUUACUUUGGGAAAAUUUUAAGUUGAGAUAUAAUUGGGAUAAUUUUACCGACAGAGAAAUGAAAAA
This is a long non-coding RNA of Zingiber officinale, 187 nucleotides long. RefSeq lists it as uncharacterized. Lineage: Eukaryota; Viridiplantae; Streptophyta; Magnoliopsida; Zingiberales; Zingiberaceae. The record is from RefSeq and is a predicted model, not a curated record. The transcript is spliced from 3 exons.